RNAcentral lists this ribosomal RNA (428 nucleotides) under uncultured Acinetobacter sp. Its description in RNAcentral is "bacterial SSU rRNA". It matches the Rfam family "Bacterial small subunit ribosomal RNA", at positions 355 to 774 of the family's 1533-position model. Lineage: Bacteria; Pseudomonadati; Pseudomonadota; Gammaproteobacteria; Moraxellales; Moraxellaceae. The record is from RNAcentral.
UGGGGAAUAUUGGACAAUGGGGGGAACCCUGAUCCAGCCAUGCCGCGUGUGUGAAGAAGGCCUUAUGGUUGUAAAGCACUUUAAGCGAGGAGGAGGCUCUUCUAGUUAAUACCUAGGAUGAGUGGACGUUACUCGCAGAAUAAGCACCGGCUAACUCUGUGCCAGCAGCCGCGGUAAUACAGAGGGUGCGAGCGUUAAUCGGAUUUACUGGGCGUAAAGCGUGCGUAGGCGGCUUUUUAAGUCGGAUGUGAAAUCCCCGAGCUUAACUUGGGAAUUGCAUUCGAUACUGGGAAGCUAGAGUAUGGGAGAGGAUGGUAGAAUUCCAGGUGUAGCGGUGAAAUGCGUAGAGAUCUGGAGGAAUACCGAUGGCGAAGGCAGCCAUCUGGCCUAAUACUGACGCUGAGGUACGAAAGCAUGGGGAGCAAACA